UAGUACAAUAUAGUGUCGCAAAAUCGACUUUGACAGUAUAUCACUUCUAAAUUAUCAAGUUAAUUAGUGAAAUGGGAACGAUGAAAUAACAACACAAUGAUAAAACAGAAAUAUUCCGAAAAUAGAUCACACACUAAAAACUGAUCCAAAAUAGAUGCCACAUGAUAUCGUUUCAUAUAGCAGAGUGUGUCAAACUAGAUCCGAAAGAUCAACGUAAAUCAAUAGCUGAACCCUAGUUGUCUGCAUCGUGUAAUGCCAUUGAAUAACAUCGCGUAUGGUUUAGCUACCGAUGUACGACACUACACACACACACACGCGCGCGCGCGCGCGCGCACAGAGACAACUAAUAGUUCCAGAGUUGGUUGCACCCCAAUUUUAUGAUUUAUCACAUUUUACAGAAUUAUAAUACUUCAUAUGUUCAUUACGCUUACAUCUUAUACAAUGUAUCUCGUAACUGACGAUACAACCGAAGAGAAGAUGAUAUUAUAUGAGAAGAUAAAUUGAGAACAUGCAACAAGGUUUUUCCACUCCGAGAUGUACUAUCAUUUCACCGUUCCCAUUUCGCGCAUUAUUCUGAUAAACGAAACGAAUUUUUGCGUCUAUAUAUUAUACAAUUAUAAGAAAUAUUUAUAUGCCAUUCGUUAAAUUUGGACAAUCAACACAUCACUGAAUGAUACGCAAUGAUGAAAAUACAUAUAGGAUAAAUGGAUACCGGUCUUUAAUGACGGCUCAGCUUAAUUUGCAUGCGGAUAUACAGCAUACAAUAACGAUUGGGUAAAAAUAGGAGUAAGAACAUGAUUCUAUUUUUCGUGCAAUUGAUUUGUCAAACGUCAAUGAAGCUUUAUUGAGUACAGAAUCCAUGACAAAAAAAAAUGUAGGUACCUCCACUUCUAAUAUAUGCAUGUAUAUGUUUUAUAUACAUUUUAAGAUCUCGUUCGAAUGGAAUAUUCAAACUGGUAAAAGUUACAAUAGGGUAUUCUAUGGUUUUCAUUUGCUUGAAAAAUGAAACAACAACUGUUCUCAAUAAUUAUCUUACAAUAAUUUAUA
Bombus impatiens (common eastern bumble bee) is the source of this 1047-nucleotide long non-coding RNA. RefSeq lists it as uncharacterized. The record is from RefSeq and is a predicted model, not a curated record. Lineage: Eukaryota; Metazoa; Arthropoda; Insecta; Hymenoptera; Apidae. The transcript has 4 exons.